UACGUAGGUGGCGAGCGUUAUCCGGAUUUAUUGGGCGUAAAGCGUGCGCAGGCGGUUUAUUAAGUCUAAAAUUAAAGCCCGAAGCUUAACUUCGGUUCGUUUUAGAAACUAGUAGACUUGAGUAUGGUAGAGGCAAAUGGAAUUUCUAGUGUAGCGGUAGAAUGCGUAGAUAUUAGAAGGAACAUCAGUGGCGAAGGCGAUUUGCUGGGCCAUUACUGACGCUCAUGCACGAAAGCGUGGGGAGCAAAUAGGAUUAGAUACCCUAGUAGUCCACGCCGUAAACGAUGAUCACUAAGUGUCGGGAAACCGGUGCUGAAGUUAACACAUUAAGUGAUCCGCCUGAGUAGUACGGUCGCAAGGCUGAA
This 365-nucleotide ribosomal RNA is filed under the name uncultured bacterium. RNAcentral describes it as "bacterial SSU rRNA". It matches the Rfam family "Bacterial small subunit ribosomal RNA", at positions 524 to 898 of the family's 1533-position model. The record is from RNAcentral.